This 1200-nucleotide ribosomal RNA is filed under the name metagenome. RNAcentral's name for it is "bacterial SSU rRNA". It matches the Rfam family "Bacterial small subunit ribosomal RNA", at positions 8 to 1198 of the family's 1533-position model. The record is from RNAcentral.
AGAGUUUGAUCCUGGCUCAGAACGAACGCUGGCGGCGCGUUUUAAGCAUGCAAGUCGAACGGGAUCUGAGGUGCUUGCACCUUGGUGAGAGUGGCGAACGGGUGAGUAACACGUAGGUGAUCUACCUCUAAGUUGGGGAUAGCCCAUGGAAACAUGGGGUAAUACCGAAUAUGCUCUUGCAUUGUGUUGCAAGAGGAAAGGAGCGUUUGCUUCGCUUGGGGAUGAGCCUGCGCAUGAUUAGCUAGUUGGUAAGGUAAUGGCUUACCAAGGCGACGAUCAUUAGCCGGCCUGAGAGGGUGACCGGCCACAUUGGGACUGAGACACGGCCCAGACUCCUACGGGAGGCAGCAGCUAAGAAUCUUCCGCAAUGGACGAAAGUCUGACGGAGCGACGCCGCGUGUGCGAAGAAUGUCGAGAGAUUGUAAAGCACUUUUAUACGUGAGGAAUAAUCAGAUCAGGAAAUGGGUUUGAGAUGACGUUAGCGUAUGAAUAAGCUCCGGCCAAUUACGCGCCAGCAGCCGCGGUAACACGUAAGGAGCGAGCGUUGUUCGGAAUUAUUGGGCGUAAAGGGCAUGUAGGCGGUUAAAUAAGUCUGAUGUGAAAGCACACAGCUCAACUGUGAUGUUGCGUUAGAAACUGUUUGACUUGAAUCCGAGAGGGGUAUGUGGAAUUCCUAGUGUAGGGGUGAAAUCUGUUGAUAUUAGGAAGAACACCAGAGGCGAAGGCGACAUACUGGCUCUGGAUUGACGCUGAGGUGCGAAAGCGUAGGUAGCGAACAGGAUUAGAUACCCUGGUAGUCUACGCCGUAAACGAUGUACACUUGGUGUCUGGGAUUUUGAUCCUAGGUGCCGUAGCUAACGCGUUAAGUGUACCGCCUGGGGAGUAUGCCGGCAACGGUGAAACUCAAAGGAAUUGACGGGGGCCCGCACAAGCGGUGGAGCAUGUGGUUUAAUUCGACGAUACGCGAGGAACCUUACCAGGGUUUGACAUAUACAGGACGCAGUUAGAGAUAGCUGUUUCUCUUCGGAGAUUUGUAUACAGGUGCUGCAUGGUUGUCGUCAGCUCGUGCCGUGAGGUGUUGGGUUAAGUCCCGCAACGAGCGCAACCCUUGUUGUCUGUUACCAUCAUUAAGUUGGGGACUCAGGCAAGACUGCCGGUGACAAACCGGAGGAAGGUGGGGAUGACGUCAAAUCAUCAUGG